AAUGGGUCAGCGACUUAUAUUCUGUAGCAAGGUUAACCGAAUAGGGGAGCCGAAGGGAAACCGAGUCUUAACUGGGCGUUAAGUUGCAGGGUAUAGACCCGAAACCCGGUGAUCUAGCCAUGGGCAGGUUGAAGGUUGGGUAACACUAACUGGAGGACCGAACCGACUAAUGUUGAAAAAUUAGCGGAUGACUUGUGGCUGGGGGUGAAAGGCCAAUCAAACCGGGAGAUAGCUGGUUCUCCCCGAAAGCUAUUUAGGUAGCGCCUCGUGAAUUCAUCUCCGGGGGUAGAGCACUGUUUCGGCAAGGGGGUCAUCCCGACUUACCAACCCGAUGCAAACUGCGAAUACCGGAGAAUGUUAUCACGGGAGACACACGGCGGGUGCUAACGUCCGUCGUGAAGAGGGAAACAACCCAGACCGCCAGCUAAGGUCCCAAAGUCAUGGUUAAGUGGGAAACGAUGUGGGAAGGCCCAGACAGCCAGGAUGUUGGCUUAGAAGCAGCCAUCAUUUAAAGAAAGCGUAAUAGCUCACUGGUCGAGUCGGCCUGCGCGGAAGAUGUAACGGGGCUAAACCAUGC
Molecule: ribosomal RNA, 577 nt
Filed under: Escherichia coli
Lineage: Bacteria; Pseudomonadati; Pseudomonadota; Gammaproteobacteria; Enterobacterales; Enterobacteriaceae
Description: partial 23S ribosomal RNA
Rfam family: Bacterial large subunit ribosomal RNA
Source: RNAcentral